This 311-nucleotide unclassified non-coding RNA is filed under the name Hevea brasiliensis (rubber tree). Lineage: Eukaryota; Viridiplantae; Streptophyta; Magnoliopsida; Malpighiales; Euphorbiaceae. The record is from RNAcentral.
UUGGUGGAGAAUGCUGACGAAUGCAUGGUGCUUGACAAUGAAGCGCUUUAUGACAUCUGCUUCCGGACCCUAAAGCUGAGCACUCCAAGCUUUGGUGACCUGAACCACUUGAUCUCUGCAACUAUGAGUGGUGUAACAUGCUGCCUGAGGUUCCCAGGACAGCUCAAUUCAGACCUUAGGAAGCUGGCUGUCAAUCUGAUCCCAUUUCCACGGCUCCACUUCUUUAUGGUAGGAUUUGCGCCACUUACUUCUCGUGGUUCCCAGCAGUACAUCUCCCUCACUGUCCCAGAGCUUACUCAGCAAAUGUGGGA